GAUGAACGCUGGCGGUAUGCUUAACACAUGCAAGUCGAACGGACUCUUCGGAGUUAGUGGCGGACGGGUGAGUAACGCGUGAGAAUCUGGCUUUGGGUUCGGGACAACCACUGGAAACGGUGGCUAAUACCGGAUGUGCCGAGAGGUAAAAGAGAAAUUGCCUGAAGAUGAGCUCGCGUCUGAUUAGCUAGUUGGUGAGGUAAAGGCUCACCAAGGCAGCGAUCAGUAGCUGGUCUGAGAGGAUGACCAGCCACACUGGGACUGAGACACGGCCCAGGCUCCUACGGGAGGCAGCAGUGGGGAAUUUUCCGCAAUGGGCGAAAGCCUGACGGAGCAAUACCGCGUGAGGGAAGAAGGCUCUUGGGUUGUAAACCUCUUUUCUUAGGGAAGAACAAAAUGACGGUACCUAAGGAAUCAGCAUCGGCUAACUCCGUG
This 435-nucleotide ribosomal RNA is filed under the name uncultured bacterium. Its description in RNAcentral is "partial 16S ribosomal RNA". It matches the Rfam family "Bacterial small subunit ribosomal RNA", at positions 28 to 507 of the family's 1533-position model. The record is from RNAcentral.